This 72-nucleotide transfer RNA is filed under the name Candidatus Ornithospirochaeta avicola. RNAcentral's name for it is "tRNA-Thr". It matches the Rfam family "tRNA". From Rfam's summary of the family: Transfer RNA (tRNA) molecules are approximately 80 nucleotides in length. Their secondary structure includes four short double-helical elements and three loops (D, anti-codon, and T loops). The record is from RNAcentral. Lineage: Bacteria; Pseudomonadati; Spirochaetota; Spirochaetia; Spirochaetales; Spirochaetaceae.
GCCAAAGUGGCUCAGUGGUAGAGCAGCUCCCUCGUAAUGAGCAGGUCGUGGGUCCGAUUCCCACCUUUGGCU